RNAcentral lists this ribosomal RNA (472 nucleotides) under uncultured bacterium. Its description in RNAcentral is "bacterial SSU rRNA". It matches the Rfam family "Bacterial small subunit ribosomal RNA", at positions 355 to 825 of the family's 1533-position model. The record is from RNAcentral.
UGGGGAAUCUUGGACAAUGGGGGCAACCCUGAUCCAGCGAUGCCGCGUGUGUGAAGAAGGCCUGCGGGUUGUAAAGCACUUUAGUUGGGGAGGAGAAGGUGCGUAUGAAUAGUGCGCGCUGGAGACGUUACCCAAAGAAUAAGCACCGGCAAACUCUGUGCCAGCAGCCGCGGUAAUACGUAGGGACCAAGCGUUGUUCGGAUUUACUGGGCGUAAAGGGCGCGUAGGCGGCGUAAUAAGUCACUUGUGAAAUCUCCGGGCUUAACUCGGAGCGGCCAAGUGAUACUGUUAGGCUAGAGUGCAGAAAGGGCAAUCGGAAUUCUUGGUGUAGCGGUGAAAUGCGUAGAUAUCAAGAGGAACACCUGAGGCGAAGGCGGGUUGCUAGGCUGACACUGACGCUGAGGCGCGAAAGCUAGGGUAGCAAACGGGAUUAGAUACCCGCGUAGUCCCUGAGCGGGCUGGCAAGGCGCAU